AUUGAACGCUGGCGGCAGGCCUAACACAUGCAAGUCGAGCGGAUGAAGGGAGCUUGCUCCUGGAUUCAGCGGCGGACGGGUGAGUAAUGCCUAGGAAUCUGCCUGGUAGGGGGGGAUAACGUCCGGAAACGGGCGCUAAUACCGCAUACGUCCUGAGGGAGAAAGUGGGGGAUCUUCGGACCUCACGCUAUCAGAUGAGCCUAGGUCGGAUUAGCUAGUUGGUGGGGUAAAGGCCUACCAAGGCGACGAUCCGUAACUGGUCUGAGAGGAUGAUCAGUCACACUGGAACUGAAACACGGUCCAGACUCCUACGGGAGGCAGCAGUGGGGAAUAUUGGACAAAGGGCGAAAGCCUGAUCCAGCCAUGCCGCGUGUGUGAAGAAGGUCUUCGGAUUGUAAAGCACUUUAAGUUGGGAGGAAGGGCAGUAAGUUAAUACCUUGCUGUUUUGACGUUACCAACAGAAUGAGCACCGGCUAACUUCGUG
RNAcentral lists this ribosomal RNA (484 nucleotides) under uncultured bacterium. RNAcentral's name for it is "partial 16S ribosomal RNA". It matches the Rfam family "Bacterial small subunit ribosomal RNA", at positions 30 to 507 of the family's 1533-position model. The record is from RNAcentral.